CCUACGGGUGACAGCAGUGAGGAAUAUUGGUCAAUGGACGCAAGUCUGAACCAGCCAUGCCGCGUGCAGGAUGACGGUCUAUAACUUGUCAACUGCUUUUGUACGAGGGUCAACCCCGCUACGUGUAUCGGUUUGAAAGUAUCGUACGAAUAAGGCUCGGCUAACUUCGGGCCAGCAGCCGCGGUAAUACGGAGGAUCCGAGCGUUAUCCGGAUUUAUUGGGGUUAAAGGGUUCGUAGGCGGUUUGAUAAGUUAGGGGUGAAAUGUCGGGGCUCAACCCCGAAACUGCCUCCAGUACUGUGGGACUAGAGAAUAGUUGCGGUAGGCGGAAUGUACGGUGUAGCGGUGAAAUGCUUAGAGAUCAUACAGAACACCGAUUGCGAAGGCAGCGUACCAAGCUAUAUCUGACGCUGAGGCACGAAAGCGUGGGUAGCAAACAGGAUUAGAUACCCCAGUAGUC
RNAcentral lists this ribosomal RNA (459 nucleotides) under uncultured bacterium. RNAcentral's name for it is "partial 16S ribosomal RNA". It matches the Rfam family "Bacterial small subunit ribosomal RNA", at positions 338 to 795 of the family's 1533-position model. The record is from RNAcentral.